AUGGACUACAGUACUGAAGAUGAGCACCAACACGGCCAUGGCCAUGGCGACGGUGACGACGCGGCGGAGUGGAAGAAGGUGGCGGAGCUGAGGGCCGUCGUCGAGGCCCAGGACCCCGCUGCCAAGGAGGAGGAUGACUUUUCGCUGCGACGAUUCCUGCGUGCCCGGGACCACAACAUCGGCAAGGCGUCGGCCAUGCUCCUCCAGUACCUUUCCUGGAAGCGUGUUGCCAAGCCCCAUGGCUCCAUCUCGGCCGACGAGGUGCGCGACGAGAUUGCAAAGGAUAGAGUCCGCAUGCAGGGCUUCGACCGUCUCAAUCGCCCCAUGGCGUAUCUCUAUGGUGCACGACAUUUCCCUGCCCGGCGUGACCUUGACGAGUUCAAGCGCUAUGUCACCUAUGUCCUUGAUAAAAUUUGCACUAGGUUGCCUGUGGGGCAAGAGAAGUUUGCAGCGGUGAUAGACAUGAAGGGGUGGGGAUAUGCGAAUUGUGACAUCCGGGGUUACGUGGCGGCAUUGGAAAUCAUGCAGGGCUACUACCCGGAGCGCCUUGGCCGGGUGUUCCUGAUCCACGUGCCCUACAUGUUCAUGGCGGCAUGGAAGAUGGUGUACCCGUUCAUUGACGACCGAACCCGAAAGAAGUUUGUGUUUGUCACUGAUAAGGACCUCAAAUCCAGGCUCCAGGGCGCCAUUGACGAGUCCCAGCUCCCCGAGGAGUACGGUGGCAAGCUGAAGCUUUAG
This 738-nucleotide ribosomal RNA is filed under the name Triticum aestivum (bread wheat). Its description in RNAcentral is "partial small subunit ribosomal RNA". Lineage: Eukaryota; Viridiplantae; Streptophyta; Magnoliopsida; Poales; Poaceae. The record is from RNAcentral.